GAGAGGCUUUGCUUCACAAACCCCUGGGACAGCUGAUCCUCGUGCUCAAGCAGGACUCUCAGAAGCAGCAAGCUGGAACAGCAGGAGACUGCCUCAAGGAUCUGACAGGAGGAAUUGAGUGUGCUGCCAGGAUAUUAAAUGAAAUUCCCCAGAAAGACAUUCAGUGCAGUAAAAGAGCCUCAAAGGCAAAAAGGGAAGGAAAUGGGCAAGCUCUCUGCUAAAGAUUUCCCUGGAGGAGAACCAUGAACAUGGGAGUGUACUAGAAGUGAUGAAAAGUCCCUUAAGCUUGUGCUCCAGGACAGAACAGGACAAUGAGGGACACCUGGGGUGA
Long non-coding RNA from Passer montanus (Eurasian tree sparrow), 331 nucleotides. RefSeq lists it as uncharacterized. The record is from RefSeq and is a predicted model, not a curated record. NCBI's taxonomy places the organism in Eukaryota, Metazoa, Chordata, Aves, Passeriformes, Passeridae. The transcript has 3 exons.